UACGGGAGGCAGCAGUGGGGAAUAUUGCACAAUGGGCGCAAGCCUGAUGCAGCCAUGCCGCGUGUAUGAAAAGGCCUUCGGGUUGUAAAGUACUUUCAGUCGUGAGGAAGGUGUUAAGGUUAAUAACCUUAGCAAUUGACGUUAGCGACAGAAGAAGCACCGGCUAACUCCGUGCCAGCAGCCGCGGUAAUACGGAGGGUGCGAGCGUUAAUCGGAAUUACUGGGCGUAAAGGGCACGCAGGCGGUUAAUUAAGUUGGAUGUGAAAUCCUCGGGCUUAACCUGGGAAUGGCAUUCAAGACUGGUUAGCUAGAGUCUUGUAGAGGGGGUUAGAAUUCCAUGUGUAGCGGUGAAAUGCGUAGAGAUGUGGAGGAAUACCGGUGGCGAAGGCGGCCCCUGGACAAAGACUGACGCUCAUGUGCGAAAGCGUGGGGAGCAAAC
Molecule: ribosomal RNA, 439 nt
Filed under: uncultured bacterium
Lineage: Bacteria
Description: bacterial SSU rRNA
Rfam family: Bacterial small subunit ribosomal RNA
Source: RNAcentral